UACGUAGGGUGCAAGCGUUAAUCGGAAUUACUGGGCGUAAAGCGUGCGCAGGCGGUUGUGUAAGCCAGAUGUGAAAUCCCCGGGCUUAACCUGGGAAUGGCAUUUGGGACUGCACGGCUAGAGUACGGCAGAGGAGACUAGAAUUCCUGGUGUAGCAGUGAAAUGCGUAGAUAUCAGGAGGAAUACCGAUGGCGAAGGCAGGUCUCUGGGUCGAUACUGACGCUCAUGCACGAAGCGUG
RNAcentral lists this ribosomal RNA (239 nucleotides) under uncultured bacterium. RNAcentral's name for it is "partial 16S ribosomal RNA". It matches the Rfam family "Bacterial small subunit ribosomal RNA", at positions 524 to 763 of the family's 1533-position model. The record is from RNAcentral.